Molecule: non-coding RNA, 2443 nt
Organism: Heterocephalus glaber (naked mole-rat)
Lineage: Eukaryota; Metazoa; Chordata; Mammalia; Rodentia; Bathyergidae
Source: RefSeq, a predicted model, not a curated record
AUUUGCCCUAGGUUGGACGCUCCGGGUCUCGAGGGGCGUGGGGUUGCCGUGGUGACCGGCGCCGGCGUCGCAACGAGGGUGGGCUUUGUGAGGAGCAGGAGCAAAAGAAGGCUUCCUCCUAUUCGUUUGCAAAGUCUAAGGACAAGUUGAUGGAGAAGCAGUCCCAGGAGUCCAGACAGGCAGACGGAGAGGCCGGGAAGCCCUCGGACACCCUCCUCCGGGCGACGGCGACAGCUGCACACGGACAGCCCUCUGCUUCGUUGGAAGGGACGUGACCUCAGGAGGCCUGCACCGUCGUCGAGGCACUCGGGGAUGGGGUGAUGAGGGUCCCUUCCUAAGGCCCUGAUGAGACUGAGCUGGUGGCGGACACCUGUAAUCCCAGCACUCUAGGAGGCGGAGGCAGGAGGAUGGCGAGUUGGAGCUCAGCCUGGGCAGCUUAGACAAACCGUGUCUCAAAAUAAACAAUAAAACCGGGCUGGGGACAUAGCUUAGUUCUAAGGCCCUGGGUUCAAGCUUCACUACCCAGCCCCCGCAAAAGACAGGGAAAAGCCCAAGUACAUAUUAUCCUGUGGGUUGGGUACUGUUAAAUAUUUAAAAGGGAGGUGUGGUGGGAUCUGUGCCUUGGAAAGGUCUUUCUGGCCCCCAAACUGGGGUUAGUAGGGGAAGCAAAGGGCUCAGGGAGAACCCUGUCCCAGGCCGUGGCUGUAACCAGGUGGGAACCUGGAGACAGUGUCGACAGGAAUUCUAGAAGGAUCGGGAGGUGGGAGAGGCAGAAGCUGCUCUCUGCUGAGAUGUGGGCAGAACAUGGCCUGAUUGGGGGUCCGGCGUGGAAGAGUGACAGGAGGAGUACUGGCCUGAAGGGACAGGAUCAGCCCAGACUGAGACCCAUGUGGCAUCAGCAAGGGCUGCAGCAGGAGGCAGUUUGAAAUUCAGGUGCUGAGCUUGGGUGAGAGGCCCAGCUUGACUCAGUCAAGGGCUGCAGGAAGGGUUAGCAAUGGGAGAGCAAUGGGAAAUGCUACCCAACUCUCUGGAUGCGUCCACCCGCAGUUACAGAAAAUCCAGCUAGGUAGGCCUGGGAGUUUAGCUCAGUGCUACUGUGCCUGCCUUGUGAGCACAAGGUUCUGAGUUCAAUCCUGGUACCAAAAAAAAGAAAAGAAAAGCCAAGCCAAGCCAGGGCCGGGGAUUUAGCUCAGUGGUUUCGCCGCCUGCUGCACAAGCGCAAGGUCCCGAGUUCAAUCCCCGGUACCAAAAAAAAAAAAAGAAAAGCCAGCUAGGGCAACUUUCACUGAGGGUUAAGGGCUCAAAGGAAGGGUCAGAAACAGGCAUCCAGAGCAGUUGCUCAGCAACACAGCCAUGACAUCAAGGCCUUUGUCAUCCUCAGUGUCAGGACAUCUUCCUUUAUAACCCCUGGGGAGCCCGAGGGCUCUGGGUGUCACGUGCAGACUCUGAGAGCCUUCUCCCUGCUGCCUGUUGGCCAGGCCACCCUUCCUGGGCCCACCCAGCCUCUUAGGGUGGGCUCAGCUCUGCAAGUUCCUGAGGGACCAGUGGAGCCAGGAGGUGGGGAGGGGACAGGACCUCUGCCAGCGGAGAACUGUCAGUUGGAAGGGCACCAGCAGUGUCUGUCACGCAGUGUCCCUCAAGGGUUGGAAGGCAGACAUGAAGGGAAAGCAGAAAGCCAGACACAGAGGCGCACACCUGUGAUCUCAGGACUUGGGAGACUGAGGCAAGAGGAUUACAAGUUUGAGUCUCACCUGAAGAACUUAGUGAGACUCUGUCUCAAAAUAAAAAAUAAGCCAGGUGAAGUGGCGCAUGCAGCACUUAGGCUGAGGCAGAAGGAUCACCAGUUCUCAGCCAGCCUGGGCUGCUGAGAACAGCAGUGAGGACCCUGUGAGGAUGCGGUUUCAAGACAGAUGGUGAAGGCUGAGGUUCCUUCAACAAUGGAACGUCCUCAACAGGAACAAGGAACAAGCCCCUGCCACAUGCUGCAUUGUGGAGCAACCCCAAACUCCACGCCCAGGGAAAGGAGCCAGGACCACAACUAAUGACUCCCUGUGUGUGAAAUGUCCUGAAAGGGAGAACAGUAGAAAGAAGUGGUCGGAGCUCGGGAUUUAGCUCAGUGGUUCCGCCACUUGCCUCGAAAACACAAGGUCCUGAAUUUGAUCCCAGUACCAAAAAAAAGGAAGAUAGACUAAUAUUGAUUGAAGCUGCAUGGUGCAGAUAUAGAUAUCGUAAUAUCCUUUUUUCACGUGUAUUUGAGUAUUUCUGUAAUAAGUUUGUUCUGGAGGUGGAAUAUGCUAAGUUACAAGAGGAUCUUGAAAAAUAAACUGAGAUAGAGAAGGGGAGGGAGAAGCAAAUGAUUUAAGAUGUGUAUGGACGUGUCCCAAACUCCCAUGAUGAAUGUAAGUGUACACUGCAAACAAACACUAAUAAAGUUUUUAAAAGA